AUUUUAUUGAAAGAAACUUGUAAAUAUAUACCAGGUGCAAGGCACCGAUCGCCUCUAGAAAGACAGCCACCUUAAUUUCUUACAAUGGCAUUAUUCUACAGAAGGCUCAAUCCUAUAAUUACAAAGUUGGAAUUAAAGAAAAUGAGCAAAGGGGGAAGGUAUCAACCAUCAAGGCUGGCGGCUUCAAACAGAGUGCAGCUGUGAGAUUUCAUUUCGUAAGCAAUUAAACCUGCCAUCUGCUCGACCAUUGGUUCACCAUCUUUGGAAAAGAACCCUGGGAAUGGAAGAGCGGUAUCAACCAAACGACGCCAUGUCAUUCCUUCGGGAACUGGGGGUAGAAUAACACUCUCUGAAUGGGCAUAUGCAUUGAAGGCCAUGAAUAGAUCACCCUUUGUGUUGGAAGAUUCAGAGCUCAGCUUGCUCUCUGCUUUAUCACUCUUCAAUGUCAUGGCCAGGAAUUUGCAGGACCAAUCUUCCCAUCUUGGAGGAGACUGGUCCCUUCCAUGCCAAUCAAUAUUUUCUUCCUUCACGAAGUUCCUCUUUUGGAGGACAUCACUUCGCCUCAUUCUUAAUGAAAUCAAGAAUGAGAUGAACUGUGUCAUUUGAAUACCAAAACCUGUUGACAAAGCAUUCCAAUCAAAGGGUUUUCUGUCACCAUAUGAAAUGGAACCCUUUGAAGAUUGGCCACACUCAUCUCCCAUAUUAAGAACAGGUACACCUAAUGAAACAUAAAGAAUAAAGAGAUAGUUACGAAUUUGUUUAAGUCUUCUUUCAAGGACAGGAAUUUUGUUUGUAGGUCCUUCUUCUCCACAAUUCCAGCUUAAUUCUGAGGCUAGCUUACCUCUACUGAAGCUUACCAAGUCCACUAGAGUAAGUCCAGAGUUCCUGGCAAUAUAAUUAAAAGAAAAAGCAGGCCCUCGACCACUUGAAAAGAUGUCUCCACUCCCACAAAGCCUUGUUGCAAGGUCACUAAGAAGACUUUCACCUCUCAAAAAGUUUCUUACAUCAAAACAAAAUUUUGCAUUCAUCUCUGCCCAUCUUUUCCAAUGAGGAAAGCAGGUUUCCUUGGGUGUGAUGUCUUCAGGGUCCCAGCAGUCUGCAAUGAUCUUGGUCUUUGAGAGUAGUGGAUCAAAAGCAAUUGCUUCAACCAAGGGAGGGCGAGAUAAAAUUUCACCAUGAAACCCUCUCUGUAGAAAUGAAGCAUUUAUAAAACAGAAACCAUCAAUGUGAAAUUCAGUCACCCAGUGCCGAAGACUAUCUAAAAUCAUUCUUUGAACAACAGGAUAAUUACAAUUCAAAGCAUUUCUUGAUUCCAACUCUACAGCUCUAUUUGCAUAAUAAUAGGAGAAGUCAUCAAUUCCUUGCAGUGCUCCACCCUCAGCAGUAUGGGUGAAAACAACUUCCAGUAAAACCUCGAUCCCAUUGGCAUGCAAUUGCUUCACCAUCUCCUUCAUUGAGAUAAUAGCAGGUAUAGAGCCACCAGAAGGCCCAUAUAGGCUUGAUGGUGAAAAGAAGUGACGUGGAAAAAAUGGCCCCUUUUGUUCAUCAAAUGGAAAUAUUGGCUCUAAUAAAACUGCAUUUACACCAAGAUUUUUUAUAUGGUUCAACUUCUCAGUCAAGCCAGCAAAGGUGCCUGCGAUAUCACUAGAUAGCUGACUAGACUUGUGCUCAGUAAAACGCUUCACAUUCAAUCGAUAAACAAUUAGUUUCUCCAUGUCCAAGUUUGGAUGAACAUCAUCACUCCAUUCAAAAGCAGGUUCCUCACAUAAUCGUCCAAUAUACUUUGGUGACAAACCAGAUCCAUGAUUCGCUGUGGAGUUAACAAUGAUUCUAGCAUAUGGAUCCAAAAGAACACGCUCUACAUAAACUUUACCUGUUUCUCCCUGAAGAAUACCUCCCUUGCAUCGGUAACCAUAGCUUGAAAAUGUCCAUGCGCCUUCCAGUGAGGCGUGCCAGACAUCGCCUGAUCGAUUAACAUGUGGAUCUAGAUCAAGCUCUAAAGCAGGUUUGUCUGUUGUAGAGUCAUCAUAAAAGCAUAGAACCAUGCCUUCCGCAUUUCUUGAAAAAAAUGCAAAAUUCAUGGAACCAUCAGUUGAAAAGGAAAGACCUAGUGGAUCUGGAUAACCUGAACUAAAACCAAUUGGGACGGAAAAUUUUGCUUUCUUAUGGUUCCUGAUCUCUGAGCCACUUGAAUUACUAUUAAACAUACAUUUCAGCAGAAAUGAGAGAUAGAAGGGAGUUUGUUUUACUUCAAACUCCAAUUCAAGUGAAAAUCUACCAAAAGUAUUCUGUACAAAUGGAGUAUCCAUGGUCCUGGCACCUGGGUCCAAAUGUUGAGAAUCCAGUGGCAUGAAACAUGAUGAAUCAGAUCUAUAUAUUCCCCAAGUAAGCACCAGCCUAUAGUCACUAGUACCCAGUUCCAAGGAUGAAACCUCAAUAUAAAGUGCGUAUUUGGCAUUUUUCUUUCUAACAAAAACUUUCACAUUACCACCAUUUUGCGUCCUAAACAGAUAAGUUGAUACCUUUUUAAGUUCAUCAACUUCAGAAGUUGUGGAAAAUAUUUGUUCAGUUUGCUGAACUGGGACCCUUGCUGCAGCAAAUUCUCUUGAACUAAGAUUCCCAUGCAGAGCUUUUCUGACAUUUUGUGCAACUUCUCCGACCAAGAGCCCUUUUUCUACAUCCAUUCCCCCUAAGCCUAGUGCCAAUUUUUUUCCAGAGAUGUAAUGCGCGGUGACUGUUAAUUUUGAUGACUCCACAGCUCUACAGCUAUAGAAGCAAGGACUCUUCGCAAGGGAUAGAGGAAGAGUUGCCAUGUCUCCCCGUAAAAGUAGAUAAUUAAACAAAAAUCCUCUUAAGGAAGGAGGUCUUCCACAGAAGCGGUAUCAUUAAUAACUUUGCUAUCAACUGGAAUACUGAGAGAGAGAGAGUGAGAGAGAGAUGGGAGAAACAAAAGAAAUUUGUGAUGGCUAUGGAAGCCAAGGAUAUAUGAUCCUCAGGCAAUAACAAGUGGAUGUAGAUAAUCCAUACAGAACCCUACAAAUCAAGUGUAGGGAUUAGCAAAUGACAAAUAGAUACACACUACAUCUGACUCAUACAACAUAGAUGCUGCCAAUAAAAACUAUCGAUAAGUUAGAAUAAAUGUUUAUAAAUUAUAGCGAUUAGAAGCUACCAAAUAGAUCAAUAUCACUGAUUAAUACAAUCGAUAAGCACAGCUAGAAUGAGAAUUCAAUAUUACUGCCACUGCACUUAUAAACAUAAUAUUUCUAUCAUACAUCAAAUAUAACAUGACUCUCACAACUAAAGUGACCAUAACACCAUCCAUAAUUAUAUAACCUUUCAGAUUGCAAUAGAUAAGGAAAAACAUACAUAAAACUAAACCCCCCUAGCAGAAUUCUCAUACAUGUUUCAAAUGUACUUUCAGAAGAGUCUCUUAGCUCUACAUAAUGUGGCUGCUCCCCAAGUCAGAUGUGAAAACAACAUAUGAGAAUGAUCUUAGCAUUUGAAAGUGUUACCUAAUUGUCACAACAUUAAAAAUCAAAGAGUAGAUUAUUUCUAGAUAGUCUCCUACACAAGGUGUGCUAAGCAUUCAAUGCAGAAUUAAGUUGCCAUUGUUUCUAACAUAAUAGUUAACAUGAAAAUGGCUCCAAGUGACAUAGUAAGAGCGAAAAUUAGUCAAAAGAAGGAUUACUUAUCUAGAAAGCUUGAUUUAUCAUCUACACCAUGAAUCCACUCAACAUCUGGGCCAAACUUAAUCUGGCCAUCCAAAUCCAGAGUAACAUGCACUCCAAGGCCUCCAUCCUCAGGUAUAGGGUAUAUCAAAUGCUGGAAAGGAGGGACUCUAGUAUUCGAAAGGGUGAAAUAGCAACCGCGAGCAUAAUGUGCUGGAGGAAUUAUACCACUAUUGAGGCCAUUAAAUCUCCUUGCAAGAGGAAGGGCACUCAAUCCUGCAGAGUUCACAACAAGCUUAGGAAUAAGGAUAAGCUCCAGGGGCAAUGGAGACUUUCCAUCCCAGCUGUCAAGAUGAUUGCUUCCCACUAUAUGAAGAUGCAGACGGUUAUCCUCAAGAUGGCCACUAAUGACUGUAGAAUUGUAAGAGAAGGUUGCCCCAUGACUUUCAGCUUCUCCCAUUAAAGACAGCAUAAGAGAAUGCACAUCAACAAUCCCAGAAAAAGGGGACAAUAAAGCCUUGAGGCAUUGCAAUUGAGGUUCCAUUUUCAUGGCUUCAAAACCCUCCAACAUUCUCAAGCCAUCCACCCCAUUUUGAGCACCACGAUUCAUUAGCUGAUACAGGUUUGGAAUCUCCGAAGAUGAAGUGGCAACUAUGAGCUUGCCCGUCUGUUUGUGCGGAAUCCCAUGUUCAGAGCAAUAAGAAUAGAGCAAUUUUCUUCCCCUCACACAGAACAAUGCCUUGAGGGAAUUGGGCAGGUAAUAGAUGCCGGCGUGAAUGACUUGGCUAUUGCGAGAGCUGGUACCAGUGCCAAAAGUCGAGGCGGAAUCCACCACUAAUACCUCUCUGCCCUUGAGAGCAAGCUCUCUUGCCACUGCUAUGCCCACCACACCUGCUCCUAUCACCACACAAUCGACCUCCUCUCUUGGUGUGUUUGUAGUUGAAAUAGAGCUCAAUCUUUUUUUCAAGCUUCGAAUUGUGUGCUUGAGCAUCUUCUUAUUCCUUUCUCCUCCUCCACAACAAUCAUUCAAAUCAAGAAUCUGUCCAUUGAGUGAUUAGAAGAUCAGUCUGCUACUGUGGAACAUCCCGCCCUUCCUUUUGUUCUGGGGAGAGAGAGAGAACCAGUGGGGAAAGUGGAAAUUAUUAGAAAAUGU
RNAcentral lists this unclassified non-coding RNA (4821 nucleotides) under Hevea brasiliensis (rubber tree). Lineage: Eukaryota; Viridiplantae; Streptophyta; Magnoliopsida; Malpighiales; Euphorbiaceae. The record is from RNAcentral.